CAGCAGCCGCGGGAACACGUAGGGGGCAAGCGUUAUCCGGAAUAACUGGGCGUAAAGGGUGCGCAGGUGGUUUAACAAGUUAGUGGUGAAAGGCAUAGGCUCAACCAAUGUAAGCCAUUAAAACUGUUUAACUUGAGUGCAGGAGAGGAAAGUGGAAUUCCUAGUGUAGCGGUGAAAUGCGUAGAUAUUAGGAGGAAUACCAGUGGCGAAGGCGACUCUCUGGUCUGUAACUGACGCUGAGGAGCGAAAGCGUGGGGAGCGAACAGGAUUAGAUACCCCUGUAGUCCCUGUCUCUUAUACA
RNAcentral lists this ribosomal RNA (301 nucleotides) under uncultured bacterium. RNAcentral describes it as "partial 16S ribosomal RNA". It matches the Rfam family "Bacterial small subunit ribosomal RNA", at positions 509 to 808 of the family's 1533-position model. The record is from RNAcentral.